AUCUAACAGAAUCAUCAAGUGAACCGCCCAGAUCUCACCGUUACAGGUGGGGAAAGACUUUACAGGAAAAUUUUCAAUGUUGAGUGGAAAAAAUUGCUGAGACAAUAAUGAGAAGAUAUCAAACAGAUUAGAUCUAACAAAAAACUGAAAAAUUCUUGGUCUGAACCCCAAACCCACAUCAUAAAACUAAAUAAACACCCAAACCCAUACAAAAGAGUUUAAGUUUCAGAGUUCCACCGAACCAAAAAUAAGGAAAAACAGCACACAGACACAAACCCAUAAGAGAAAAAAAGUCACACAAAUGAAAGAGGUAAGAAAAAAAUAAAGGAAACUGAAGAAUCGAGCUGAAAUAAGAAUUU
Molecule: unclassified non-coding RNA, 359 nt
Filed under: Hevea brasiliensis (rubber tree)
Lineage: Eukaryota; Viridiplantae; Streptophyta; Magnoliopsida; Malpighiales; Euphorbiaceae
Source: RNAcentral